This 253-nucleotide ribosomal RNA is filed under the name uncultured Eubacteriales bacterium. Its description in RNAcentral is "uncultured Clostridiales bacterium partial 16S ribosomal RNA". It matches the Rfam family "Bacterial small subunit ribosomal RNA", at positions 524 to 776 of the family's 1533-position model. Lineage: Bacteria; Bacillati; Bacillota; Clostridia; Eubacteriales. The record is from RNAcentral.
UACGUAGGGGGCAAGCGUUAUCCGGAAUUACUGGGUGUAAAGGGAGCGUAGACGGUAAUGCAAGUCUGGAGUGAAAGCCCGGGGCCCAACCCCGGGACUGCUCUUGGAACUGCGUGGCUGGAGUGCAGGAGGGGCAGGCGGAAUUCCUGGUGUAGCGGUGAAAUGCGUAGAUAUCAGGAGGAACACCGGCGGCGAAGGCGGCUUACUGGACUGUAACUGACGUUGAGGCUCGAAGGCGUGGGGAGCAAACAGG